Non-coding RNA from Neotoma lepida (desert woodrat), 46 nucleotides. The record is from Rfam. NCBI's taxonomy places the organism in Eukaryota, Metazoa, Chordata, Mammalia, Rodentia, Cricetidae.
AACAUGGCUUUAUUCAAAGCCAACUUUUUUUGAAAUUUAAAAACUA